Molecule: long non-coding RNA, 1036 nt
Filed under: Aquilegia coerulea
Lineage: Eukaryota; Viridiplantae; Streptophyta; Magnoliopsida; Ranunculales; Ranunculaceae
Description: long non-coding RNA (ACOE_LNC001172)
Source: RNAcentral
CAAAUAAUCUAGCUAGAUCGUCACACCAAUUAAAAUAUUACAAUCUCAUAAAAAGCAAACCAUUACGACGUUACAAAGUUCAUAACCAACAUGACUGGAGGAAAAACAACAUGACUAGUGUAAAAUAUUCAUAACCUCGUCAACUUGCUCAACUUCCUUAUCUGCAGUACUCUCAUCAAUAGCUAUAGGAGCUGUUGAGGAAGCUCCUAAGUCGACCGAAAGCUCGGGAUUUGGAGUCGACAUAAUCUAAAACAAAAAUAUAAAUAGAUAAUUCAGCCAUUAUAAACAAACAAUCAAAUUAAAAAAACAACAACUAUUGAUUUGUAUAACGACAUAAACAUAAAAAAGAAUCAAUUCAAAGUUAUCAUAUUUCUCAAUAGGUAACCACUAAAGAACCAAAUUUUGAUAGACUAGAAACAGAUUUUUUGAGGUGAAUAAAAACACAAUCCUAAGAUAACUAAACAUAUAUACAUGUCUAACAUAGGAUGCUUUGAUCAACUAUCAAUCAACCUCUGCUUCUCUUUUGCCAAAUGGAAGUGACUAGUUCUGAUGAAACACUCUGAGCAUUUUUUUUAUAAGAUUUCGUACACGGCAUCUCAUCCAACAACUCACAAUGUAUAUGUAUGUUCUGAAGGUCACAACUUAGUUGGGUUCAGACAUUAUUGCCAUGCUUUUUAUAUGGCUUCAAAGGGAAGUUGGUGCUUUUCUAUUUAUAUAAAUGGUCAUGUAGAAAGAAUGUGAUAUGAUUUCAAGCAAAUCAUAUCUACUACCUAACCUAACUAGCCAUAAGCCCAUAACUAUAUUCACAGAACAUAGCUCUAAUUCUAUUAUUUCCGAUUAUACCCAAAUUUUCCAAUAUUGCAGAACUUCUGCAUAUGAUAGAAAAGCCUGAAUGCCAUUUCAAAGGGUUGGAAUAUUUUUUUUGGGUGUGGAUGAUUAUCGGCUGAUCUAGUUCUACUACAUAUCUCCCAUUCUUGUUUGAAUAUAAAUGCCUAUGACUAUGUAAAGAAUUGUGAUUGUCGCCUCAAUACCAGAA